Molecule: ribosomal RNA, 442 nt
Filed under: uncultured bacterium
Lineage: Bacteria
Description: partial 16S ribosomal RNA
Rfam family: Bacterial small subunit ribosomal RNA
Source: RNAcentral
CCUACGGGAGGCAGCAGUAGGGAAUCUUUCACAAUGGGCGAAAGCCUGAUGGAGCAACGCCGCGUGCAGGAUGAAGGCCUUCGGGUUGUAAACUGCUUUUAUAAGCGAGAAAUAUGAUGGUAACUUAUGAAUAAGGAUCGGCUAACUACGUUCCAGCAGCCGCGGUCAUACGUAGGAUCCGAGCAUUAUCCGGAGUGACUGGGUGUAAAGAGUUGCGUAGGUGGCAUAAUAAGUAGCUAGUGAAAUCUGGUGGCUCAACCAUUCAGACUAUUAGCUAAACUGUUAAGCUCGAGACCGUUAGGGGUAACUGGAAUUUCUAGUGUAGGAGUGAAAUCCGUAGAUAUUAGAAGGAACACCAAUAGCGUAGGCAGGUUGCUGGGACGGGUCUGACACUAAGGCACGAAAGCGUAGGGAGCAAACGGGAUUAGAUACCCGAGUAGUC